AAUGAUAUGUGAGUGAGUAUAUGAUCAUGAUUGAGCAAGGAAAUCACCCAACUUAUUUUUAUGAAACUUUCGAAAAUUAGGAGCUUGAAACCCUACGAAUUUUGUUGUUUAUUUUCUUGACUUGGCUUGAGUUAUAUGAUGAUGGAUUUGAGUUUAUGAGAUGAUCUAGAUGAUUAAUGAUGGAUGAGAUUGAAGCUUGAGGUUGAGAAGUGAAAAAUGAAAAAUGUUAGUUUGAGGAAGAAGAUGAUAUAUAUGUGUUUCUAUAUGUGAUUUUGUAUAUGAUGUUGAUUUGAAGAUUUGAGUGGGUAUAUGAGUUCUUGAGCAUGCUAUGAUGUUAAGUGAUGGUUUAGAUUGAUGAUUAGAAGUGAUGAAAUGAGUUUUGGGAUGAGUUGUUGUUGAGAAUUAUGAUGUUAUAUUCAAGUUAGAGAUAUUAUUAAGAUAUAUAAGUUUUAAAUAUAAAUUGGAGAAUUUCGUAGGCCUACUGACCUACUGUGAUCGAUGGUUUGUCGAUGUCUAAUAGCUUUGAAAAUUUUAUAGCAAGUUUCUACAUGAGUCUUGAGUACCCUGGUAAAAUUUCAAGCUAUUUAAACUUCGUUUGAUAUUUCUUUAAAAUGCAAAACCUAAACUGCACAUUAUUACCGAGAAUUUCAGAGAACAGGGGAAAGAGUUAUUCAUUUAAGUAGUCUUCCUAUGUGAUCUAGCUUUCCAACUUUUUAUGGUAUCAACCUUAUUGUGUUAGAUAGAUAUCCACCAAAGUUGAGCCCAGUUUGACAACGUUUACUAUUUUUCAAAAAUUGUAACCUUCGGUUGCACAAAACUGCCAGAAAUGGUAGAUCGUGGUAAAAACGUCAUAUCUCUCAAACCACUUGGAGCUUUCGACUCUAUUUUUUUUUUAAAUGAAACUAGACUCGAAGAAAUUUCUUUCAGUAUGAGUCUCGAGUCCAGGAGAUGUCGGAGUCAGAACAGUUUAAAUUUUGAAGUUGAGUCAGUGUGAAAACAGAGCAUGUUUUAAUGAUGUUUGAUUGUGAUUCUUAUGUGCCUUAUGUGAUUGUGUUGCCUAUGUGUUUGAAUUUUCACUAAAUUAUUUUAGUGAAUUUAAAUCUCUUGAUUUAAAUUUUAAUAUUUAAGGUUGGGACUAUUUAUUUUAAAUGAGGUCCGU
Molecule: long non-coding RNA, 1159 nt
Filed under: Salvia miltiorrhiza (redroot sage)
Lineage: Eukaryota; Viridiplantae; Streptophyta; Magnoliopsida; Lamiales; Lamiaceae
Description: long non-coding RNA (SMIL_LNC002622)
Source: RNAcentral